RNAcentral lists this ribosomal RNA (124 nucleotides) under Mus musculus (house mouse). The record is from RNAcentral. Lineage: Eukaryota; Metazoa; Chordata; Mammalia; Rodentia; Muridae.
GUCUACAGCCAUAUCACCCUGAACACGCAUGAUCUCAUCUGAUCUGAUCUUGGACACUAAGCAGGGUUGGGCCUAGUUAGUACUUGGAUGGAAGACUACCUGGGAAUACCAGGUGCUGUAGGCU